GACGAACGCUGGCGGCGUGCUUAACACAUGCAAGUCGAACGGAAAGGCCCUGCUUUUGUGGGGUGCUCGAGUGGCGAACGGGUGAGUAACACGUGAGUAACCUGCCCUUGACUUUGGGAUAACUUCAGGAAACUGGGGCUAAUACCGGAUAGGAGCUCCUGCUGCAUGGUGGGGGUUGGAAAGUUUCGGCGGUUGGGGAUGGACUCGCGGCUUAUCAGCUUGUUGGUGGGGUAGUGGCUUACCAAGGCUUUGACGGGUAGCCGGCCUGAGAGGGUGACCGGCCACAUUGGGACUGAGAUACGGCCCAGACUCCUACGGGAGGCAGCAGUGGGGAAUAUUGCACAAUGGGCGGAAGCCUGAUGCAGCAACGCCGCGUGCGGGAUGACGGCCUUCGGGUUGUAAACCGCUUUCGCCUGUGACGAAGCGUGAGUGACGGUAAUGGGUAAAGAAGCACCGGCUAACUACGUGCCAGCAGCCGCGGUGAUACGUAGGGUGCGAGCGUUGUCCGGAUUUAUUGGGCGUAAAGGGCUCGUAGGUGGUUGAUCGCGUCGGAAGUGUAAUCUUGGGGCUUAACCCUGAGCGUGCUUUCGAUACGGGUUGACUUGAGGAAGGUAGGGGAGAAUGGAAUUCCUGGUGGAGCGGUGGAAUGCGCAGAUAUCAGGAGGAACACCAGUGGCGAAGGCGGUUCUCUGGGCCCUUCCUGACGCUGAGGAGCGAAAGCGUGGGGAGCGAACAGGCUUAGAUACCCUGGUAGUCCACGCUGUAAACGGUGGGUACUAGGUGUGGGGUCCAUUCCACGGGUUCCGUGCCGUAGCUAACGCUUUAAGUACCCCGCCUGGGGAGUACGGCCGCAAGGCUAAAACUCAAAGGAAUUGACGGGGCCCCGCACAAGCGGCGGAGCAUGCGGAUUAAUUCGAUGCAACGCGUAGAACCUUACCUGGGUUUGACAUGGAUCGGGAGUGCUCAGAGAUGGGUGUGCCUCUUUUGGGGUCGGUUCACAGGUGGUGCAUGGCUGUCGUCAGCUCGUGUCGUGAGAUGUUGGGUUAAGUCCCGCAACGAGCGCAACCCUUGUUCACUGUUGCCAGCACGUUAUGGUGGGGACUCAGUGGAGACCGCCGGGGUCAACUCGGAGGAGGGUGGGGAUGACGUCAAGUCAUCAUGCCCCUUAUGUCCAGGGCUUCACGCAUGCUACAAUGGCUGGUACAGAGAGUGGCGAGCCUGUGAGGGUGAGCGAAUCUCGGAAAGCCGGUCUCAGUUCGGAUUGGGGUCUGCAACUCGACCUCAUGAAGUCGGAGUCGCUAGUAAUCGCAGAUCAGCAACGCUGCGGUGAAUACGUUCCCGGGGCU
RNAcentral lists this ribosomal RNA (1346 nucleotides) under uncultured bacterium. RNAcentral's name for it is "partial 16S ribosomal RNA". It matches the Rfam family "Bacterial small subunit ribosomal RNA", at positions 28 to 1381 of the family's 1533-position model. The record is from RNAcentral.